UACGGAGGGUGCGAGCGUUGUCCGGAAUCACUGGGCGUAAAGGGCGCGUAGGCGGCGCGGCUAGUCGGCGGUGAAAGCCCGGAGCUCAACUCCGGAUCGGCCGUCGAUACUUCCGGGCUUGAGCACUGUAGAGGCAGAUGGAAUUCCGGGUGUAGCGGUGGAAUGCGUAGAGAUCCGGAAGAACACCGGUGGCGAAGGCGGUCUGCUGGGCAGUUGCUGACGCUGAUGCGCGAAAGCGUGGGGAGCAAACAGG
RNAcentral lists this ribosomal RNA (253 nucleotides) under uncultured bacterium. RNAcentral's name for it is "partial 16S ribosomal RNA". It matches the Rfam family "Bacterial small subunit ribosomal RNA", at positions 524 to 776 of the family's 1533-position model. The record is from RNAcentral.